This 506-nucleotide ribosomal RNA is filed under the name Peridinium limbatum. Its description in RNAcentral is "LSU rRNA". It matches the Rfam family "Eukaryotic large subunit ribosomal RNA", at positions 101 to 547 of the family's 3401-position model. Lineage: Eukaryota; Dinophyceae; Peridiniales; Peridiniaceae. The record is from RNAcentral.
GGGCAUGCUCAGCAUGAAAAUUAGGGCCGGCGGGUCUGAGUUGUAGUCUCGGGAGGUGUUGCCAACAGCGGCGCUGCUGUACGUCUCUUGGAAACGAGUACCAACGAGGGUGAGGGUCCCGUUUGUCAGUGGCAGNCCGCUGUGCACGGUGCACAUUCUCAGAGUCACGCUCCUUGGGAUUGGAGCGCAAUGCUGGUGGUAAGCUUCAUCUAAAGCUACACAUGGGCUCAAGACCGAUAGCAAACAAGUACCAUGAGGGAAAGGUGAAAAGGACUUUGAAAAGAAAGGUAAAAGUGCUUGAAAUCGCUGAACAUGAAGUGAGCGAAGCCACCAUGUYUUGGCGAGAUUGCUGCACAUCACCGCCACUGCUUGCUGCGUCAGCAUACGUGUGGCAGUAGGUCUAGAGCAGGCCGUGUGCAGUGCGUCUUGCCUUGCCUGUCAGCAUCGCCUCACACGCGAGGAAGAUGUCAAGGACAUGGUAGCUCCCCCCAGCGUGUGAAUAUCCU